AGAUUAAGUUAUUAAGGGCGCACGGUGGAUGCCUUGGCACUAGAAGCCGAUGAAGGACGUUACUAACGACGAUAUGCUUUGGGGAGCUGUAAGUAAGCUUUGAUCCAGAGAUUUCCGAAUGGGGAAACCCAGCAUGAGUUAUGUCAUGUUAUCGAUAUGUGAAUACAUAGCAUAUCAGAAGGCACACCCGGAGAACUGAAACAUCUUAGUACCCGGAGGAAGAGAAAGAAAAUUCGAUUCCCUUAGUAGCGGCGAGCGAAACGGGAAGAGCCCAAACCAACAAGCUUGCUUGUUGGGGUUGUAGGACACUCUGUACGGAGUUACAAAGGACGACAUUAGACGAAUCAUCUGGAAAGAUGAAUCAAAGAAGGUAAUAAUCCUGUAGUCGAAAAUGUUGUCUCUCUUGAGUGGAUCCUGAGUACGACGGAGCACGUGAAAUUCCGUCGGAAUCUGGGAGGACCAUCUCCUAAGGCUAAAUACUCUCUAGUGACCGAUAGUGAACCAGUACCGUGAGGGAAAGGUGAAAAGCACCCCGGAAGGGGAGUGAAAUAGAACCUGAAACCGUGUGCUUACAAGUAGUCAGAGCCCGUUAAUGGGUGAUGGCGUGCCUUUUGUAGAAUGAACCGGCGAGUUACGAUUUGAUGCAAGGUUAAGCAGUAAAUGUGGAGCCGUAGCGAAAGCGAGUCUGAAUAGGGCGUUUAGUAUUU
This 707-nucleotide ribosomal RNA is filed under the name Staphylococcus aureus. RNAcentral's name for it is "bacterial LSU rRNA". It matches the Rfam family "Bacterial large subunit ribosomal RNA", at positions 1 to 704 of the family's 2925-position model. Lineage: Bacteria; Bacillati; Bacillota; Bacilli; Caryophanales; Staphylococcaceae. The record is from RNAcentral.